This 270-nucleotide ribosomal RNA is filed under the name Triticum aestivum (bread wheat). Its description in RNAcentral is "partial small subunit ribosomal RNA". The record is from RNAcentral. Lineage: Eukaryota; Viridiplantae; Streptophyta; Magnoliopsida; Poales; Poaceae.
AUGCCCGACGAGGUUGUGCUGCCGCCCACCGCCGAGAAAGACCAGAAGACGCCUGAGGGUGGCGACGACGAGGGCAUGGAGGAGCCCCCAGUAACAAGCGCUGCAACUACGGCCACUACCAUCAAGAGGAUAGCCCAACUCACUUCUGCAAGGUCAUCCUUGCACCGAAGCUUGAGUGCAUCCCCAUGCCCCUGGACUUCACCAAGCACUUCGUCGCGGUGCCGACGGAGUUCAAGCUCAGGAACAACACCGGCUGCUCCUGGAAGGUGA